RNAcentral lists this ribosomal RNA (305 nucleotides) under uncultured bacterium. RNAcentral's name for it is "bacterial SSU rRNA". It matches the Rfam family "Bacterial small subunit ribosomal RNA", at positions 335 to 632 of the family's 1533-position model. The record is from RNAcentral.
UAUCCUACGGGGCGCAGCAGUAGGGAAUCUUCCACAAUGGGCGAAAGCCUGAUGGAGCAACGCCGCGUGGGUGAAGAAGGUCUUCGGAUCGUAAAACCCUGUUGUUAGAGAAGAAAGUGCGUGAGAGUAACUGUUCACGUUUCGACGGUAUCUAACCAGAAAGCCACGGCUAACUACGUGCCAGCAGCCGCGGUAAUACGUAGGUGGCAAGCGUUAUCCGGAUUUAUUGGGCGUAAAGGGAACGUAGGCGGACUUUUUAGUCUGAUGUGAAAGUCUUCGGCUUAACCGGAGGAGUGGAUUGGAAA